RNAcentral lists this ribosomal RNA (478 nucleotides) under uncultured bacterium. RNAcentral describes it as "partial 16S ribosomal RNA". It matches the Rfam family "Bacterial small subunit ribosomal RNA", at positions 28 to 523 of the family's 1533-position model. The record is from RNAcentral.
GACGAACGCUGGCGGCGUGCUUAACACAUGCAAGUCGAACGGUAAGGCCCUUCGGGGUACACGAGUGGCGAACGGGUGAGUAACACGUGGGUGAUCUGCCCUGCACUUCGGGAUAAGCCUGGGAAACUGGGUCUAAUACCGGAUAGGACCCUGGGAUGCAUGUCCUGGGGUGGAAAGCUUUUGCGGUGUGGGAUGGGCCCGCGGCCUAUCAGCUUGUUGGGGGGGUGAUGGCCUACCAAGGCGACGACGGGUAGCCGGCCUGAGAGGGUGACCGGCCACACUGGGACUGAGAUAGGGCCCAGACUCCUACGGGAGGCAGCAGUGGGGAAUAUUGCACAAUGGGCGCAAGCCUGAUGCAGCGACGCCGCGUGAGGGAUGACGGCCUUCGGGUUGUAAACCUCUUUCAGCACCGACGAAGCGCAAGUGACGGUAGGUGCAGAAGAAGGACCGGCCAACUACGUGCCAGCAGCCGCAGUAA